GCAUGUGAGCGGUGAUGGAUUUGUAUGCCGCGGUGGGCUCCCUGCUAUUGUGCAGUUGACCACCGACGCUGCAAGUCUCUUCAAUGGCACUCUGUUUGAAUGGAGAUGCGUGUGUUGCCUGUACAAUCUACCUAGUUCCUUUGGAAAUAGACAUUGUUUACCUUGCUUAUCCACUUCUCUUGUCCUAUAUGAAUGAGAAGUGUCGAUGUCCGUGCACCUUGUGUGUCCUCGAACGAUGGUAUGUCUCAGACCUCUCGUCUCGAGUGGCUCCAGUGUUCACGUGAGUGCUCUUGGAUGCAGUGGAUAAGAAUGUACCAUGGGUCUUUGGACUCUUGGCACAUGAUCGGUUGGCUUUCUUAGUCGCCCUUCGACGGAUGACGGCCUUCCCAUCGUUGCCCCCCUUUCCCUUGUGGUAAUGGGUCGGCAUGUUGGGCUUGGCGUCGUAGAGGACGUGCUACC
This 459-nucleotide unclassified non-coding RNA is filed under the name Musa acuminata subsp. siamea. RNAcentral's name for it is "partial external transcribed spacer". RNAcentral also lists the same sequence under 1 other name. The record is from RNAcentral. Lineage: Eukaryota; Viridiplantae; Streptophyta; Magnoliopsida; Zingiberales; Musaceae.